UCCCCAUCCUCAUAUCCUCAUCAUGUCAUCGUUCUCCUGUCCCCAUUAUGUCCCUGUUCUCAUGUCCCCAUUCUCCUGCUCCAUCAUGUCCCCAUCCCCAUCGUGUCCCCGUCCCCAUCGUGUCCCCAACCCCAUUGUGUCCCCAUCUUCCUCUUUCCUUGUGUCCCCAUCAUGUCCCCAUUUUCCUGUCCCCAUCACGUCUUCAUGCUCCUGUCCCCAUUGUGUCCCUGUUCUCAUGUCCCCCUCCUUCCAUUCCUGUCCUUCUGUGCCUAUUGUGUCCCCAUCCCAUCUUUGACCUCCUGUUCCUUCGUGUCCCCAUAUUGUCCCCAUUUUCCUGUCUCCAUUCUUGUGUCCUCAUCAUGUCUUCAUUCUCCUGCCCCAUCGGGUCCCCAUUCCCAUUGUGUCCCAUCUUUGUGUCCCCAUCUUUGUGUCCCCAUCUUUGUGUCCCCAUCUUUGUGUCUCUAUUUUCGUGUCCUAUUCACGUCUUCAUUCUCUUGUCCCCAUGAUGUCCCUGUUCUCAUGUUCCCAUCUUCCUGCCCCAUUGUGUCCCAAUCACAUCACGUUUCUCCUGUCCCCACCACAUCCCCAUCGCGUCAUCAUCUGCUUGUCCCCAUCCUCCCAUCCCCAUCGCGUCCCCUGUCCCCAUCCCUUGUCCCCAUCCUCUGUCCCCAUCUCCCAUUCUUUGUCCCCAUCCCAUCCCCAUCUCCUGUCAGUUGUCCCCACCCUCUGUCCCCUGUCCCCAUUCCUGUCCUCUGUCCUCCAUCCCAUUCCCAUCCCCUGUCAAUUGUCCCCUGUCCCCAUCCCUCAUCCCAUUCCCAUCCCCUGUCAGUUGUCCCCAUUCCUGUCCCCAUCCCUGUCAAUUGCCCCCUGUCCCCAUCCCUGUCAGUUGUCCCUUGUCCCCAUCCCAUCCCUUGUCCCCAUUCCUGUCCCCAUCCCCCAUCCCCUGUCCCCAUCCCCAUCCAAUCCCCAUCCUCUGCCCCCUGUCCCUAUUCCUGUCCCCAUCCCAUUCCCAUCCCCUGUCAAUUGUCCCCAUCCCCUGUCCCCAUCCNNNNNNNNNNNNNNNNNNNNNNNNNNNNNNNNNNNNNNNNNNNNNNNNNNNNNNN
This 1103-nucleotide long non-coding RNA is filed under the name Chrysolophus pictus (golden pheasant). RNAcentral describes it as "lncRNA (ENSCPIG00010000560.1)". Lineage: Eukaryota; Metazoa; Chordata; Aves; Galliformes; Phasianidae. The record is from RNAcentral.